This 422-nucleotide ribosomal RNA is filed under the name uncultured Roseburia sp. RNAcentral describes it as "bacterial SSU rRNA". It matches the Rfam family "Bacterial small subunit ribosomal RNA", at positions 355 to 794 of the family's 1533-position model. Lineage: Bacteria; Bacillati; Bacillota; Clostridia; Lachnospirales; Lachnospiraceae. The record is from RNAcentral.
UGGGGAAUAUUGCACAAUGGGGGAAACCCUGAUGCAGCAACGCCGCGUGAGUGAAGAAGUAUUUCGGUAUGUAAAGCUCUAUCAGCAGGGAAGAAAAUGACGGUACCUGACUAAGAAGCACCGGCUAAAUACGUGCCAGCAGCCGCGGUAAUACGUAUGGUGCAAGCGUUAUCCGGAUUUACUGGGUGUAAAGGGAGCGCAGGCGGUCUGGCAAGUCUGAUGUGAAAAUCCGGGGCUCAACCCCGGAACUGCAUUGGAAACUGUCAGACUAGAGUGUCGGAGAGGUAAGUGGAAUUCCUAGUGUAGCGGUGAAAUGUGUAGAUAUUAGGAGGAACACCAGUGGCGAAGGCGGCUUACUGGACGAUAACUGACGCUGAGGCUCGAAAGCGUGGGGAGCAAACAGGAUUAGAUACCCUGGUAGU